This 252-nucleotide ribosomal RNA is filed under the name uncultured Odoribacter sp. Its description in RNAcentral is "partial 16S ribosomal RNA". It matches the Rfam family "Bacterial small subunit ribosomal RNA", at positions 524 to 776 of the family's 1533-position model. The record is from RNAcentral. Lineage: Bacteria; Pseudomonadati; Bacteroidota; Bacteroidia; Bacteroidales; Odoribacteraceae.
UACGUAGGUGGCAAGCGUUAUCCGGAUUUAUUGGGUUUAAAGGGUGCGUAGGCGGCAUUAUAAGUUAGUGGUAAAAUAUUGGGGCUUCACCUCACUACGCCAUUAAUACUGUAGAGCUAGAGAACAGACGAGGUAGGCGGAAUAAGUUAAGUAGCGGUGAAAUGCAUAGAUAUAACUUAGAACACCGAUAGCGAAGGCAGCUUACCAGACUGAGUCUGACGCUGAGGCUCGAAAGCGUGGGGAGCAAACAGG